AGAGUUUGAUCAUGGCUCAGGACGAACGCUGGCGGCGUGCCUAAUACAUGCAAGUCGAACGAACUCUGGUAUUGAUUGGUGCUUGCAUCAUGAUUUACAUUUGAGUGAGUGGCGAACUGGUGAGUAACACGUGGGAAACCUGCCCGGAAGCGGGGGAUAACACCUGGAAACAGAUGCUAAUACCGCAUAACAACUUGGACCGCAUGGUCCGAGCUUGAAAGAUGGCUUCGGCUACCACUUCUGGAUGGUCCCGCGGCGUAUUAGCUAGAUGGUGAGGUAACGGCUCACCAUGGCAAUGAUACGUAGCCGACCUGAGAGGGUAAUCGGCCACAUUGGGACUGAGACACGGCCCAAACUCCUACGGGAGGCAGCAGUAGGGAAUCUUCCACAAUGGACGAAAGUCUGAUGGAGCAACGCCGCGUGAGUGAAGAAGGGUUUCGGCUCGUAAAACUCUGUUGUUAAAGAAGAACAUAUCUGAGAGUAACUGUUCAGGUAUUGACGGUAUUUAACCAGAAAGCCACGGCUAACUACGUGCCAGCAGCCGCGGUAAUACGUAGGUGGCAAGCGUUGUCCGGAUUUAUUGGGCGUAAAGCGAGCGCAGGCGGUUUUUUAAGUCUGAUGUGAAAGCCUUCGGCUCAACCGAAGAAGUGCAUCGGAAACUGGGGAACUUGAGUGCAGAAGAGGACAGUGGAACUCCAUGUGUAGCGGUGAAAUGCGUAGAUAUAUGGAAGAACACCAGUGGCGAAGGCGGCUGUCUGGUCUGUAACUGACGCUGAGGCUCGAAAGUAUGGGUAGCAAACAGGAUUAGAUACCCUGGUAGUCCAUACCGUAAACGAUGAAUGCUAAGUGUUGGAGGGUUUCCGCCCUUCAGUGCUGCAGCU
RNAcentral lists this ribosomal RNA (881 nucleotides) under uncultured bacterium. RNAcentral describes it as "bacterial SSU rRNA". It matches the Rfam family "Bacterial small subunit ribosomal RNA", at positions 8 to 853 of the family's 1533-position model. The record is from RNAcentral.